This 944-nucleotide ribosomal RNA is filed under the name Caecosagitta macrocephala. RNAcentral's name for it is "SSU rRNA". It matches the Rfam family "Eukaryotic small subunit ribosomal RNA", at positions 727 to 1547 of the family's 1831-position model. Lineage: Eukaryota; Metazoa; Chaetognatha; Sagittoidea; Aphragmophora; Sagittidae. The record is from RNAcentral.
GUUCGCGCCGUUGGGAGUCGUUGCGGGUCGUUGGCCCUGCCGGCGAGGUCCCCGCCUGAUGGCGGGGCUCCACCUUGCUCGUGCAGCCCUCCGUCGCGUUUGGGCGGGUGUCCUUAACUGGAUGCCUGUUUUUUAAACGUGGCCCGUUUACCUUGAACAAAUCGGAGUGCUCAAAGCAGGCUCUACGUCGCUCGAACGGUAGCGCAUGGAAUAAUGGAAGAGGACCGGCUUCCGCUUCUGUUGGUCUCACGGAGGCAGGUAAUGAUCAAGAGGGACGGACGGGGGCAGAGGUAUGUCUUGGCGAGAGGUGAAAUUCUUGGACCCUAGACAGACCCUCGAGAGCGAAAGCAUCUGCCAAGGAUGUUUCCAUUGAUCAAGAACGAAAGUCGCGGGAUCGAACGGGAUUAGAUACCCCGGUAGUCGCGACCGUAAACGAUGCCAACCGGGAAUUUGGCGGCGUUACUUCCAUGACCCGUCAAGCGCCCGACCCGGGAAACCGAGAGUCUUUGGGUUCCGGGGGGAGUAUGGUUGCAAAGCUGAAACUUAAAGGAAUUGACGGAAGGGCACCACCAGGAGUGGAGCCUGCGGCUUAAUUUGACUCAACACGGGGAACCUCACCCGGCCCGGACACCGCGAGGAUUGACAGACUGAGAGCUCUUUCUCGAUUCGGUGGGUGGUGGUGCAUGGCCGUUCUUAGUUGGUGGAGCGAUCUGUCUGGUUAAUUCCGAUAACGAACGAGACCCCAACCUGCUAACUAGCCCUCGGGUCCGGCUUCUGGCGGGCCCGACGGAAUGAUUCGCUUCUUAGAGGGACUCGCGGCGCCUAGCCGCACGAAGGGGGGCGAUAACAGGUCUGUGAUGCCCUUAGAUGUUCGGGGCUGCACGCGCGCUACACUGAAGGCAUCAGCGUGCGCUUAGUCCGUUCCCUGCCUGAAAAGGCUGGGU